AUCCAUCUGACGAGUGACAAAGAGGACGAAACGCAUGUCUUGGAU
Molecule: non-coding RNA, 45 nt
Organism: Schistosoma mattheei
Lineage: Eukaryota; Metazoa; Platyhelminthes; Trematoda; Strigeidida; Schistosomatidae
Source: Rfam